AAUGACUUAUUUUAAAACGUAAUUCAAAGACUGAAUGUCUAGUUUGGCGGUUAGUGUACCCUGUGAUUCUAUAGUCUGCAUUUAUUUUAAACAGACAAAUAAUCAGCAAUUAACUUGUACUUAGCCUAGACUUUAAAACAGGUAUUGUGACAAUAAAGGAUAUUUUAGCAACCAUUUGAAGCCAUAUAUUUCAGUUUCAGACCCUGCAGCAGCAGGCCCCUCAUCAUGGCCAGGUGAACGCAGUGACAGUGAGGUGAAUGUGACAGUGAGACAAGAUUCCAUGUCUGCAGAUGCAGAGAACCGUGGCUCUCACCUCAUCUUGAACAGGUCACUCUUUGGAUUGGCGCUAUUACGAACGAAGGCUCUGUCUAGCUGAUGUAUACGUGGUCAUCUUCCAUUUGAGUUCUAGGUAAGAUUCGGCUCAUUGCUCAGCAGGCAUCUUUAAAGUCCACGUGAACCGGAAGUUGUUAAGUUAAGUUAUAGUCAAGGCU
This is a long non-coding RNA of Cyprinus carpio (common carp), 491 nucleotides long. Lineage: Eukaryota; Metazoa; Chordata; Actinopteri; Cypriniformes; Cyprinidae. The record is from Ensembl.